UUUUUUUUUUUUUUUGUUAUUCUUUUAUUUUUGUUUGAUUUUUAUUUUGUUUUGCUUUUAGUGGUGAUGUAGUUUUUUACCUCCCAUGGUAAAUCUGAAUGUUCUUCCUGGUGAGUUUGUAUACUAGGACAAUAGCAUUAGCAAUGCUGCUGCUUUGUGAGUUCUACUUCCAUGACCAGGAUCUUGCAGAAAUAUUCCUUUCACAUAUCUAUAUGUGUAUAAAUAUAUACAUUAUUAUAUAUAAAUAUAUUUAUAUAUAAAUAAUAUACACAAAUAUAUAAUGCGUAUAUAUGUAUAUAAAUAUAUAUUAUAUAUAAUUUUUAUAUAGAAAAAUAUAUGUAUAUAUAAAAAUAUAUUAUAUUUAUAUAUAAAUAUAAAUAUUUUUACAUGUUUGUGCACACAGACACCUUGUUUCAGACAUAGACAACUUUUUUUAUGCCCUCUGUCAAUUUUCCAGCAUUCCAGUUUAACAGAUGGAGUCAGCUAAAGGACUUCCCUUUCCAUUUGGAUUAUUUUUCUCUUGAAAUCCCAUCCUGAGAGUUGGAGAAGUUAUUUCUAGGAUCAAAUAUAAGAAAGAAAAAACUAUUAAUUGUUUCCAAGUUCCUCUGUUAAUUUAUCCUGCUAUAUUUUCAGGUGAGCAGCAGAGGCUGGAUUCAGUUAUUCACUGUUCUCACAGAGACCUUAGGAGCCAGUAUAGGAUUUUGUUGUGUUAAUUAGACAAGUCUACAUAGAGAAGAGAAGAGCUGGUAUUUCUCCAAAUCUUAUUUCUGUGUGGACAUCAUGAACCUGAUAUUAUACACACACAGAGUCAGCCAGUGGUAUUGUUAAAAAAAAGAAUUAUGACUUCAGUAAACACCUGGAGACAUAAAGAGUGGUAGGUGUGGGAAAACUGCUUUCUUUCAGUACUGCAGGCUGAUAAAUCCCAAGGAAAUCCAUUUCACACAGAAACCUUUCUGGUUCUGAGGGUGAGCCAUUGCAAUCAUUCAGUGUAGGAGGUGUAAUUGGUACCUUCCCCCCAUCCCCUUCUCUGAUAUGUGAAUUUUUCACAGGAGCCAACACAGGGCUGCAGUUCAGUCUUCCGGGUGCAGAGAUCGCUGAUAGGGAAUUACUCUGUAAAAUUCAGAGGCCUGAGUGCCCUAAAUGACAGCUGAGUUGCCCUGUCAGCGCUCAUUUGCAUGUUUUUUAUAACAAACUCAAAAUAAUAGAUUUAAAUAAAGAGAUAGGAAGAGAGAGUACCAAGACUGAGGUUAGCCUGAGUAUGCCUGUAGUGCAAAAACACAGUAAACAGGUAGGAGAAGAGGUAUCAAGAGGCUGGAAGGAAAUUCUCUGGGCAAAAUCUGGUGCCUGUGGUCACUGGGAGGGGAGGGCAAUAAGCAGAGGGUGCUGUGGCUGACACCCUGGCACUGGCACUACAGCAGGAGAAAAAGCAUCUGGUGCAACAAUUGCACUGCAAGCUGCAAAUGGGAGCUCAGGGACUGUCAAAGGGGAUUUAAAAAUCCCUUUAUAAAGUCCUUUUCUAAAAUGCUCCUGCUGGAGAAUGCAGGCAGGGAUGGUAAUGAACAUGGGAGCAAUUCAAUGUCCCAGGCCUCUGACUCGAGUCCUGACUGAGAUGGUUUAACACUUUUGACUUUAUAAAUUGAGUACAGUAAAUAAAUUACAUUCCUUACCAUCAGUAAAAGUUUAUUUCUUGGCACAUAUUUAUUGAUGUUUGCCAAGUCAAAUAUUAAAAUAUAGGUGGCAUGACUUCCAUUACUUCUCUGGAUAUUGUUUUCUACUCUUUGUUUGUUGUCUUGGAACCUUUCCCAGUGUGUCACAGGCACCAUGUUGUGUUAAUAUUUUUUUAUUUUUAUACAGCAUUUCUCAUCUAAUUGUUUUUUUCUCUUUGAUACUUUUACAUUCUUCAGGUAUUUACUAGUGUCAAUCUUCUGAAAGUAAGGCUGUACCUUCCCUAUGUGUACAAGGUGCAUCAUGAUUUUUCUCAAGAAUGCAUGAAAUUUGUGUCACGCUCAGCAUCCUAUUGCUCUGAAAACUGCUGCUUGGUUGCAUUUUAUUUUGCUUUCUUGAAAGAUGUCUGUAUGUCUGUAUAUUGCUUUAACAUUUUGAUACUCUGUGAAUUUUUUUUACCUUUGACAUUUUUCAGUAGUUUGGGACAUAAACAGAACAAAAAGGAAAUAAGUAUUUUUAGCAAAUUGAGUUGUCACUGCUCCUGUGUAGCUUAGUGUCAGAAACUUGUCUCAGGGACUCCUGUUUUCACUUUGCAGAACUUCUGUAACAAAGAAACACGAGUGAAAAAGAGCCAUGCUUCUUCCUGGAGUGGAGCACCAAAACAGUGAUUAGAGUUCCAGCUGUGCCCAUGAUACCUCUGACUUUUCUUCCAGAUCACAGAGGGUGAUCUGUUUACAUUCUUCAGUCGUAGAAAAAAAAUUCUUGUGGCAUGUUUGCCCGAGUUUAUGCUGCUCAACAAUGUUAAUGAUAGUUUGUUUCAGGUAGUUCUCAUGUAAAAACCCAGCUUGCUCAAACCAGUUACUGAAACUAAUGCUUAAAAAAUUCUUAAUGCAUAGUUUUAUUGAAAAACAAAACUCUAUAUAAAAUUUUUUUUUUUCAAAAAGUGACUGCAAGAAAAGCAGCCUUCUUUGGAACUGCAGAGGGAAGUACUGAUCUGAGAAUAAUUUAGGAAAUGUUUUCCUUGAAGCUUCUCACAUCUGUCUCUUUAAGUGAAAGUACAAAGGUUUUCUUUAAUGACUUUUGGAACACCAUUUAGUGGAAAAACAGCUCUAAGUUGCAUAAGUAAUAAUAGUCUUGCAUAUAAAAGUACUUUAAAAUUUCUUAAUAUUUUAAAAAAAGCAAAAAUAAGUUUAUAAUAUCCAAAUACACAAACAAAUUGGUAUUGAGAUGUUCCUUCUACGUUUCCCACCAAGGACACGAUAAGGAGUUUUUGAGAAUUUUUAAACUAAACAAAAUGUUAUUGUACUUUUGAAUACAGGAGCUGGCUAGCACUUAAACAUCCACCACCUUGAUAAACCACAGCUGUGCAGGCCCGUCAUAAUGCUCACAAAAGUUCUUCCUAUGGCUUUGGUCAAAUGUACUGGAGUCCAGGGCAUUUGCGCUCCUCUAGCAGCAGGGAAUUUAUUCUGUUACCAUCCACAGGGAGAUGAGAUUCAAAGUGUACUCCUUGCACAGAGGGGCCACUGGAAGUGCCCAGAGUCAGCUAUUUACAGUUCUCCACUGCUGCUCUGCUCAUGAAGGCACUACCCCACUUUGUGAUCAGCUCGCUGCCCCUUUCACCCUGGCUCAGGCACACUGUGCAUUCCCACAGAGCUAGCACAGGCCGUGGGCAGCUCCCGCUCUGAGCUGGAGCUUGCAGAGGUCUUCGGAGAUCUUGUUACUAUCAGUAGUAACAUACUUGAAGAUUAUUUCCUUUGGGUUGUACUCCACUGUAGACUUGCUUGUUCAUUUUCUUUUGAUACAAACUUUCUGUGGCAAAAAGAGAGCUGUGAUUUUUGAAAGCUAAAUUUCUCCAUCAGCUAAUUAGGUUCAUUUUUAAUUCAGCUUGCACAUAAGACACUUGAAAAAGAUGAUUUCCAAAAGCAUACAUUGAAGUGGGCAUCCCUUUUCCAAAUGUUGUCAGUGGCAGUUAAACUUCUCUUUUUCAGCUUCAAAAGCAUUCCCCUCUUUGGGCUGUUCAACUCCUGUGAUGUUUUAUUUGUAAGACUAGAGUGUACCUAAACAAUAAUUCCUUUAUUCCGGUUAAAGCAUUGUUCCAGCAUGUGCUAGGGAUUUAGACUGGAAGUCGUACAUCAGUUCUGACAAAAAUUUUAUUUUUUUCAGAUAUCCUUUUCCUUUUCAGAAGCCUAAGUAAUUCAAACACAAAUUAUAUCAAAAUGCAAAGCACAACUUGCUAAGAAAUGUCAUGGGUUGGAAUAAUUUUUAAUGUCUAUUACUCCAGUAUUAAUAGUAUUAUUUCCCAUAUAAGCAUACAUGUAAUACCUGUCUUAACAGUUUGAAGAGAUCAUAACACUGCUCACCUACCACUGCUAUUGUUGAAGGUUUUUACACAAGACUACUCAGGAGGGUCCCAUCCCUGAGGGGGGGAAAUUCCCUUACUGCAGAAUUAGAUGGCAUCAAUUUUGCAGGAUGCCUGUGAAAAGUUGCCAAAUUAAGUUUUACAGGAGAAAAUUCUCAUAGAAGAGCACUUUGAAAUUAUUUUUGCCGCUUGCAUCUUUGCCUUUUGUGAGUUUUCUUUGGGACCUAAAGGGGCUGGAAUUAGUAAAAUAAGAUCAAAUUAUUGCUUGACUUAGCAAUCCCAAAUCCUCUGUGCACUUUUCCAGAGGUGAAAAAUUGGUGUCAGGAAGAAGACAGAACAACUUUAGUACAGAUCAUACCUCUAAGAACUCUUUAUUGAAGCACAGGAUUAACUGCUUUCAUCCCCUCUUUUUGCAUGUGCUGUCCUCCUUUCAGCAGGAGUAGGGUACACUCUGUCAGAAUUCAUGUUCCUCCUCCCUCUGUGACUGAAGAAACUCCUGAUGUGACUUGCAGAUGGAGCUCCGUUGUAACCCCAUCAGCACACACAGUGUUCUGGCUGCCCACUUGGCACUUGGGAUUGUGCUGCUCCAGGCUGGGGCUGUGUUUGGCAGAAAAGCUCCAUCAGUGCAGCCAAGCACAACUAAAGCAGUGACAAGUGGGUCCCCCUUGUGCAGAGCUUUCUCUACAGAUGAGCAAGAGGCAGCUCCAGAGUGGAAGCUGCCAUCUGCUUCACCUCAGCGUGGCAGGAGGCCAGGGCUGAAAAUUCUGCUGUUUUGAAGUGACUGACACACAAAAUAACCUCUUGGCACUCUCUCUCUCUGGGUGUCCUUGUGUGUCCCUGGCCGCAGAGCAUCUUGUACCCUUUAGGUGUGGUUCACCACACACGGGUGCAGCCAGGCACAUCCCAUUGGGGACACCACAUCCUGCUUUGGCAAAGUGGAAGGUGGUGCUGCACAGCCAGGCUGGGGGGAGGCAGCUCCUGGGGCUGUUGGCAAGGGGGUCUUGCAGCCACCUCCGGGCACACAGCCUGUCCCAGCCAGCCCUGCUCACGCUGGAAGCAGCAACACUUCAGCAGCAGCAGCGACACUUCCUCAUUGGUAACCUGCUCUCCUGUUUUUGAGUUUCUGUGCUGCCAUGGGCCUUGCAGAACAGGUUCCCAGUGCAGCCAGUUGUCAGGCUGGUGGCUGACACAACAGCCCAUGCUGUGGCAUGUGCAGAUAUACCUUUCUUUUUCCUACUGUUUUUUUGGGUUUUUUUUAAUUGUUGGCUCUGGUGUGUUCUGCUGCUGCACUCCUCCAGCACAUGCCCCUGGGCUGGCCAGGACCUGGCAGAUGUGCCUUGCCCCUCCAGGUCUGCCCUUCCAUAGCAAGGAAGGAAGUUCCUCACCUGCCAGCAGUUGCUGUAUCACAACUGAUUUGGACAAGGCAUGAUGGCAAAUGCUGCCACAGGCACUGGAGCUCAGGUUGCAAAAGCUGCAGAAGACUGUUUUUAUGAAGUCUUUUACGGUGGAAUUCAUCUCUCCUGACUUUCUAUUGCCAAAAGCUGAGCUUGACCAGCCUUCCACAUCCAUAUCUGGAGUUCAUCCCAUCUCCUACCUAAAGUAAGUAUCUAGGAUAGCUCAAAGGGCCCAUGCCUUUGGAAAUAUUUAUUUGUCCUCCUCUGACUAUAAGGUGAACCUGAGUGGCUCAUCUGGACAUGUCUGUGCUGAAUCCAUGUGGUGCUGCCUUGUGAGUGUUUAUUACCAUCUGCAUGCAAGCAUCACAGAAAGUGUCAUGUCCCCUGUAGAUAAACUUCUUGUGGGUGUCUCAUCUUGGGAACUGUGUUGAAGAGCCUGCUCUCCUGACAGACAGUGGGCUUGCGGGGGCCUUUCCAACAAAUUUCAUUUUCCCCAGCUGGUUGCAGACUGACAAGAAUAAGUAGGAACCCAUUGCUAAUGAUCAUACAGUUUUUUUUCCCCUGCAAACUUUUCAAUACUGUAAUAGUUAAAAGCAGUCCAAAAAAUACAGGUUGCAAUAAGUGUAAAUUUGACAUUGUCAGAUGAUGCAAAAUCUGCUUCAUGCUAAUGAUAUUCUGGUAAAUGAAUCUAAGCUUUUUAAGCAUUAAAAACAUUAAAAUAAUUAAGGCAUUAAAAAGUAGGCAAAGAUAAAUGUUCUACGCCUGAGUAAAAGUAUGCAAAUGAGAAUCAAUUUAUCUGAAGGAUAGGUUUGAUGGAUUUUCCAUAUUCUGAACUCUUUUAAGAGAAAAUGAGUUUCAACAUGUACAUUGUUCCCUUGCAUUAAAACUAAAUUAAUUAAGCAAGAAGUCAGCAUUUAAAUAGUAAUGCAGGAACACUGCAUUAAAAUUAUCAUAAAAAAUAACACUUUGUUCUGUUGCAAAUAUUCUUAUGAAAUGGUAGAAAUAAGCUGUGUUUUGAUUUGCUCACUAAGAGCAAAUAUUGAGAGCAUAUAGUCCUGCUGGUAAACAGAAAAAAUUGAAACUUUAAAUUAAGACCCAUAAUAAAUCAAUCAACAUAUAACAAUCACAGUAAAAUGUGUAAAAUUCUAUCGAGCAAAAUCCAAUAACAAGUGCAAAUAUGGCAGAUAGAAUGAUUGUCUGCAGUUAGCCUGCAAGCUUCAGGGGGCAAUGAGAGUUUGCAUAUUUAUGUACUUAACAAGUUUAUAAUUUCUUUUAGCUUUCAUGAUGUUUUUUUAGUUCUGACUAAAUGUUCUGAUUCCAUAUACUUAAUUGAGUUCACUUAGUCCUUAGCAAAUCCCUUGAUGUGUUUUUAUACAAAAGAAGAUAAUCAAGGCUCUCCAUGCAACCCUCUGCAUUGGGGUUGUGACACAGAAGGCUCAUACCCAAAACUGGCAGAUGUCCAUGAGCCGUUCAUGCCCUUCCAGGAGCUCAGCCAUCCUUGGUGUCUCUGUGACCCUCCUCCAAGGCACCAAGGAGUGAAAGCUAGGAGGCUCCAGGUGCUUGGAAAAGCUGAGCUCGCCCUCCCAGGGCUCUUGGUGCCUGAGCUGAACCACUCCAUGGUUGUUGGGAGUUCCCUUUGAGAGGUGCUUAAUACAGC
Taeniopygia guttata (zebra finch) is the source of this 7075-nucleotide long non-coding RNA. NCBI's taxonomy places the organism in Eukaryota, Metazoa, Chordata, Aves, Passeriformes, Estrildidae. The record is from Ensembl.